GUCCACGCCCUAAACGAUGUCAACUAGGUGUCGGGAGCGCAAGUUCUUGGUACCGCAGCUAACGCGUGAAGUUGACCGCCUGGGGAGUACGGUCGCAAGAUUAAAACUCAAAGGAAUUGACGGGGACCCGCACAAGCGGUGGAUGAUGUGGAUUAAUUCGAUGCAACUCGAACAACCUUACCUACCCUUGACAUGUCCAGGAGGCCACUGAAAGGUGGCUGUGCCCGAAAGGGAAUUGGAACACAGGUGCUGCAUGGCUGUCGU
This 264-nucleotide ribosomal RNA is filed under the name uncultured bacterium. RNAcentral's name for it is "partial 16S ribosomal RNA". It matches the Rfam family "Bacterial small subunit ribosomal RNA", at positions 793 to 1055 of the family's 1533-position model. The record is from RNAcentral.